UACGGAGGGUGCGAGCGUUGUCCGGAAUCAUUGGGCGUAAAGGGCGCGUAGGUGGCCCGGUCAGUCUUUGGUGAAAGCGCAGGGCUCAACCCUGCGUCGGCCAGGGAUACUGCCGCGGCUCGAGCACUGUAGAGGCAGGCGGAAUUCCGGGUGUAGCGGUGGAAUGCGUAGAGAUCCGGAAGAACACCGGUGGCGAAGGCGGCCUGCUGGGCAGUUUAGCUGACACUGAGGCGCGACAGCGUGGGGAGCAAACAGG
Molecule: ribosomal RNA, 256 nt
Filed under: uncultured bacterium
Lineage: Bacteria
Description: partial 16S ribosomal RNA
Rfam family: Bacterial small subunit ribosomal RNA
Source: RNAcentral